GACGAACGCUGGCGGCGCGCCUAACACAUGCAAGUCGAGCGAGCGAGAGAGAGCUUGCUUUCUCGAGCGAGUGGCGAACGGGUGAGUAACGCGUGAGGAACCUGCCUCAAAGAGGGGGACAACAGUUGGAAACGACUGCUAAUACCGCAUAAGCCCACGACCCGGCAUCGGGUAGAGGGAAAAGGAGCAAUCCGCUUUGAGAUGGCCUCGCGUCCGAUUAGCUAGUUGGUGAGGUAACGGCCCACCAAGGCGACGAUCGGUAGCCGGACUGAGAGGUUGAACGGCCACAUUGGGACUGAGACACGGCCCAGACUCCUACGGGAGGCAGCAGUGGGGAAUAUUGCACAAUGGGGGAAACCCUGAUGCAGCGACGCCGCGUGGAGGAAGAAGGUCUUCGGAUUGUAAACUCCUGUUGUUGAGGAAGAUAAUGACGGUACUCAACAAGGAAGUGACGGCUAACUACGUG
Molecule: ribosomal RNA, 466 nt
Filed under: uncultured bacterium
Lineage: Bacteria
Description: partial 16S ribosomal RNA
Rfam family: Bacterial small subunit ribosomal RNA
Source: RNAcentral